Molecule: long non-coding RNA, 3975 nt
Filed under: Taeniopygia guttata (zebra finch)
Lineage: Eukaryota; Metazoa; Chordata; Aves; Passeriformes; Estrildidae
Description: lncRNA (ENSTGUG00000021959.1)
Source: RNAcentral
CGGGCGGUGCCGCAGGUGCACCUGGCCCGGGCGGGGGCUGCCGCAGCCCCGCCCCGCCGACCCCCGGCCGCGGCUCGUAGUAAAUAACAAGUUGAGUAAAGCUCCGGCAGCUUUUUAUAUGCCGGGGGAGGCCCUGCCUUCCCCACCAGGUAAGGACGGAAAAGUUUCCCACACCCUGACGUCACCCACGACUUCUUUUUUUUAACUUUUUUUUUCGUAUAAGUUUUUUUUUUUUUUUUUUUUUCCCCUCUCCCUUUCUUGCUCUGCUCUUUUGAAUAGGCAAACCGUACUCCUGCCAUUGCUCAGGAGCACUCCCCGCGCCCCGCGGCUGUGCUGGGAAGCCGGCAGUGCUCCCGAGGAGCCCUUGAUGAAGCAACUCCUGCCUAAUUGCUCUGCCGCCUGUACCUCCGGGUGCAGCUUGGCCCUGCCGGUGAAACAAACGAGAGGCUGGGAAAGAAACCUGAAGUCGUGAGUCUGGUGGAGCACUGCGUGUUUCCAAACGCUCUGCUCUGAGUUCAUCCCACCAGUAAGGCUGUGCAGCGUGAGAACUGCUGUUGCAAAACUACCAGAUUCAACCUCCUGGGGAGCCUUUCUGGCCAAGGUUUUACAAGCCAGCACCUGCUUUGCCUGCCUGACUUCUUUCUAUAUUUAUUCCUCUGCACCCGGUUUUUGCCUUUGCCUGUGGAACUGUCACAAACAUUUGUGCUGGCUUUUGACUGCACAGGACUUCAGCUUGCAAGUCCUAAAUCUGCCUUUGUGCAUGGUGGAGGAGCAGGCGUUUUUGUGCAUGGUUGUGCCAUCUGUGUGUCUGAGCAUCCCUGGUCCUUGCUGUCUGCAUUAUGUGGCCUGUGUCCCUGUGAUUCUGCAGCAGUCCCUCUGUUCUCUGUCCCUUCAAGACGUUUUUAUGAAUCAAAUAGUCUCAGUCAUCCUACUUAUGUAAUUUGUAAUUUUUCAUUUAACUGUGCCACCCCUGACCCAGUGGCUGCUUUAAGGCAAAGGCAAUGUGAGCAACCCUCACUCCCCUGGGUUUUGUGUCCCUGUCCCUGCCAUGUGUGCCACUGCAGGCUGCAUUCCUCUCCUGUUCUGUAAGCCCUCUGCCUCUCAUGCUGACACAGCUAAUAUUUCUCCGCUGGCAGGGCAGGCAAGGUGGUAGCAUUUAACUCUUCAGGAGAACUUUGAUCUGUUCAUCUUUGGUGGAACCACCAGAGCUGUAAGGGCUGGUAUGUGCCUGUGAUGGGGUUUUUGCUCUUCCAGAUGUUCCCCAUUGCUUUUCUGCUGAAAACUUGAAUGAGAGUUUGUAAAACCUGCACAAACCUGACACUUUUUACAUUAGUUGUGAGAGUAGCUCCUGUUUCUGACCAUGGGGUGAUCUCUGGGUGACCCUGCUGCUGGCUGGGGCACAUAGCCCCUGUGGGAGGUUCUAGUGGGCUUUUGGAAAAAUAAUUAAUCAGCUACCCAUGGAGAGCUAGUCCCAGCCUGCAAUGCACUGAGGUUGUCCUGGUGUACCACUCAGUGCCACUUGGACUGUUGUCUCUUUAAAGCUGCCUUUGUGACCACCAAUGUAAUGAAUGUAUGCUGCUGCUGCCUGGCAAGGUUGAUUUUUUUUUUUUUACAGUGGUAGUGAUGGACCAAUGAGUUAAAUAUGGAUGUAUUCUAAAAGGCAGAGAACUUUUUUACCUUUUAAAGCAAUGGUUUAAAUGUUUUCUGUCACCUGUGGGUGCUAAACUCUUGCUGCCACGGGUCCGGACCACUGUUCAGUUCUUGGAGGUAAUUGCAGAGCCUCUGUCUUUGGAGGAUUUCAGCUCCUCCUGAAGCCUGUGCCUCAGUACCAGUGAAAACCAGAUGUACUGUUAUGUCGCUUUUUUACAGUUUGUUUUGGCCAUACAUGGGCAGAGUCAGCUCUGGAAUUCCUUCCCUAUAAAUUCAAUAGCAUCUUGUGGGUGGUGCCGGGGAAUCACUCUGGUCUGGUUGGAUCGCCUUGCUUCGGCAGCCUGUUUGCCUUGAAAAUGUCCUGCUGUGCACAUUCCUGAGAGGCUGCCUGCCCCUGGAGCCAUGGCUGCAGCUUCCAGGAGGCUGCUGUCCCUUGCUGGCAGGCAGAGUCAGCUCCUGCUGCCUGCAGGUCAGCCUUGGCUGCUGAGACUGAUGCUUGUGGCAGUGCUGGCAUGGGGAUGUUGCUCUGGGGUGCAUGCAGGCUCUGCAGGAAUAGUUAUACCUGCUAAGAAAACUGCCUCUGAAACUUGAUUUGCGUGUUUGAGCAUUGACACUCAAGUCCCUUUUCCAGGGGUGGGGAGGCUGGGUGCUCCCCACUUCCCACCUGACAUGGAAUACUGUGCUGUGUGUCCCAGCAGGGAUUGAUGGGUGCUGCCAUCCUGGGGCUCCUUGUAUGUGCAGGGAUCUUGUCUUGUCCUUCAGUUUGUGCCUUUCUGCAGUGCUUCCUUGUUUUUAUGGAUUUUUUCCAUAAUGCAAGUUCAAAUACAUGCUCUUUAUAAAGCACUAGCUUGAUGAGCCAGGUCAGGGGAGGUUUCCCUAUGCCAGGUGAGCAGCCAGUGUGAGAUGUGGUGUGACUGAUGGCUGAGCCUGCCUUUUCUGGGCCAAGCUGAUGUUGCUAUAACCACAGUCUGAAUCUGCCUAUUUGCCUUCAGAGAACACUCUAAAAAGUAGUUCUAGGAGUUUUUCUACUGGUGAGUUGAGGGAUGAAAAAGAGGUUUGUUGCAAGGGUUGAGGAGCAACAACUUCUAGAGUUGCUCCCAUUGAAUCUUCCUGUGCAUCCCUAGUAGGGGACAGAGAUGCAGUAUCACCCAUCAUGCCAGGAGCCUCUGAAGCACAGUUGAAGGUGAUUUUACGUGGCCCCAUGUCCAGGCUCUGUGUAGGUCGGCAAAGGCAGAUUGCUCAGCUCAUGCUUCAGAGGGGCAAGUCAUCCCUGUGCCAAAGCCAGGGAGAGAAGGGUGAUUUCUUUUUUUUUUUUUUGACAUCCUUUGGAGUUUUGAUCUCCAUAUUUGGAAAUGUUUACCCAUUGCUCUGAUCUAUUGCAAGGGAGGGGAGGUGACUCAGGGUCUGGUGGAAGCAGGAUUUGAAUUCCUGUAGUAAGGUUUUUUUUUUUUUAUCCCCCCCCCCUUUCUUGUUUUGGAAGCUUGUUGUGGUCAGUUUUCAGUUCUCUCUUGCUCCUGGACCUUGUUCCAAAUUUGAUGUGCUCGGGAGGGAAGCACAUUAACAAAGGAGCUUGUCUGAAUGCUGGUAAGUGCAUCAUUGCUGUUACAGCAAGCAAUUUGGGAUUUUUUUUGUUGUUUUGUUUAGUCAGAUAGAUUGCAUUGAAGUGUGUGCAUUGCUGGUGGAGGCAGGCAUGUGGAUCAACAGCAAGGGACCAAAUGAAACCUAUAGCAGGGAGAGUUGGUUUACUGGAUUGGUCUCAAAGGCAAAAUGUUUCUUCAGGAGUAGGUAUAAAGAUAAUUUAAGCCAGCUCCCAUUCAGUCACGCUUUUCCUUUUAGUUUCACUUGUUUGUGCAGCAAGGUAGCAGAGCACUGUAAAGGAGGUGGUCAGCACGGAAAUUCAUGUGGUCAGCAAGGAAAAUACAGCUUCUGUAUGAUUUUUGUCACUUAAGCAAGUGUGUGUGUUAAAAGGCUGUAUAACACAUGGAUAUAUUUCUCUCAAUUGUUAAUAUUUAACUGUUCUUAGUUGAAGUUUAGCAACUGUAACUGGAUAAACUUUGAGUGUCCGUUUUUUUCUUGUUGUUCUGUAUUUUUCCUUAGUGUUAAGUUUUUAAUCUGUCUGAUAUUGUAACUGGCUGCUUCUUUUUUUUACUUUUUUUCCCGCUUUGCCCCCCCCCCCUACUCCUGCUCUUUCCUAUUUCCUGAAAGGAAGCUGCAGUUCAUCCAGACAGUCAGGGGUGUGGGGGGAACCUGGAAGAUGCUCUGCUUCCUAUUUUAUUCAUGGCAGCUAAAACCAUGCUGAGGAAUGUGGAGCAGAGAUCCACCAUC